UACCCGCAGCACAAGUGGUGGUCAUUAUUAUUGGGCCUAAAGCGUCCGUAGCUGGCUUGUUAGAUGCCUGGGUAAAUCGAUGCGCUCAACGCAUCGAACUCCGGGUAGACCGGCAAGCUUGGGACCGGGAGAGGCGUGAGCUACUCGAGGGGUAGGGGUAAAAUCCUGUAAUCCUUCGGGGAGGACCAGUGGCGAAGGCGGCUCACUGGCCCGGUACUGACGCUGAGGUGCGAAAGCGUGGGGAGCAAACAGG
RNAcentral lists this ribosomal RNA (253 nucleotides) under uncultured bacterium. RNAcentral describes it as "partial 16S ribosomal RNA". It matches the Rfam family "Archaeal small subunit ribosomal RNA", at positions 474 to 727 of the family's 1478-position model. The record is from RNAcentral.